GAGGAGGAGGAGGAGGAGGAAGAUGAUGAGAUCACGUGACCUCCACGUGGAUGUCUCUUGUGGAUACAUCUAAGACGAAAGGGACGACCGACCAAAUUUUAUUCUCCACGUAUCAUCAGCCAUACCCAGUUUGACUCGGAAGCGGAGGUGGUGGGCCCUGCUGUGGCUGGUGGUGAUGGUGAUCAGCGGUGGGAGGCGAUGGCGCGGCGGAGGACCUGGACGAGGACGGCGGGGGAGCUGAGGUGGGGGAGGUGGCCCUCGAUGGGGAGGAGCUCGAUGGUGGUGCGGCCGCCGAGGUGGGCCUUGAGGUAGGCGGCGACGGAGGCGGGGACGGAGACGUCCUUGGCGGUCUGGACGACGACGCAGGGGGUGCGGACGAGGCCCAGCACCCCGCGCAGGUCGCUGUUUACCACCGUCCGCGACACGAACAGCGAGAUGUCCGGCCUCAUGUUGAACAGCGUCCGGCUGAACUCCCGCACCGCCGCCGGCACGUCCGCCCCCACCGCCAGCGGCGCGAACCCCUGCACCCACGCCUCGUAGUUCGCCUCCAUCGCCGCGAAUACCUUCUCGAACUCUUCCCUCUCGAAGCCCCCAUGGUAGUCUCCAUCAUUCAGGAACCUACCCAGCAUCCCAGACAAGAACAGCAAACACCUCACCCAAAUCAGUCGCCAGAAACUGCUGUACCAAGUCGAUCAGCCCCCGGGAGACAGGGUUGUUCUUCAUAUAGAUACCUGGGGGAGGCGCCGACGAGGAUGAGCUUGAGGAAGAGCUCAGGGCGGCGGAUGGCGGCUAUGAUGCCGAUCAUGGCGGAGACGGAGUGGCCGACGAAGAAGCAGCGGUCGAUGUGGAGGGCGUCGAGGAUGUCUAGGAGGUCGUCGACGUAGGCGUCGAGGGUGGUGUAACGACGGAAGUCGAAGUGGUCCGGGUUGACGCUGCCGGCGCAGACCAAGUCGUAGAGGACGACGCGGUAGUCGCGUUGGAAGUAGGGGAGGACGCGGUUCCAUGCCGACUGAUCCGUGCCGAAGCCGUGCGACAGCACCACCACCCGCUCCCCGCUACCCACCACCCGCACGUUCAGCAACUCCAGCAGCUUGCCGCUGCUUCUUCCACCGCCUCCCGCCUCCGCCGCCGCCGCUGCUGCUGCGUUAACGAUGCUGCUGCCCCCCAUGUCUGACGCUCACCCUAUAUUACUCGUCUUAAAUAGAGUAAAAACACUAGAGAGCAGAAGGUGAGAACUUGCUACUAUAUGCAUAUCUAUAUAUCUAUA
This 1267-nucleotide long non-coding RNA is filed under the name Musa acuminata (dwarf banana). Its description in RNAcentral is "long non-coding RNA (MACU_LNC003099)". Lineage: Eukaryota; Viridiplantae; Streptophyta; Magnoliopsida; Zingiberales; Musaceae. The record is from RNAcentral.